CCUACGGGAGGCAGCAGUGGGGAAUAUUGCACAAUGGGGGAAACCCUGAUGCAGCGACGCCGCGUGAAGGAUGAAGUAUUUCGGUAUGUAAACUUCUAUCAGCCGGGACGACACUGACGGUACCUGACUAAGAAGCCCCGGCUGACUACGUGCCAGCAGCCGCGGUCAUACGUAGGGGGCCCGCGUUAGCCGGCUGUACUGGGUGUAAGGGGAGCGUAGACGGCGUGGGAAGGCUGGUGUGAAAACCCGGGGCUUAACCCCGGAACUGCAUUGGAAACUGUCAGGCUAGAGUGUCGGAGAGGCAAGUGGAAUUCCUAGUGUAGCGGUGAAAUGCGUAGAUAUUAGGAGGAACACCAGUGGCGAAGGCGGCUUGCUGGACGAUGACUGACGUUGAGGCUCGAAAGCGUGGGGAGCAAACAGGAUUAGAUACCCUUGUAGUC
This 440-nucleotide ribosomal RNA is filed under the name uncultured bacterium. Its description in RNAcentral is "partial 16S ribosomal RNA". It matches the Rfam family "Bacterial small subunit ribosomal RNA", at positions 338 to 795 of the family's 1533-position model. The record is from RNAcentral.